RNAcentral lists this ribosomal RNA (492 nucleotides) under uncultured bacterium. RNAcentral's name for it is "partial 16S ribosomal RNA". It matches the Rfam family "Bacterial small subunit ribosomal RNA", at positions 29 to 507 of the family's 1533-position model. The record is from RNAcentral.
AGUGAACGCUGGCGGUAGGCCUAACACAUGCAAGUCGAACAGCAGCACAGUAAGAGCUUGCUCUUACGGGUGGCGAGUGGCGGACGGGCGAGGAAUACAUCGGAAUCUACUUUUUCGUGGGGGAUAACGUAGGGAAACUUACGCUAAUACCGCAUACGACCUACGGGUGAAAGCAGGGGAUCUUCGGACCUUGCGCGAUUGAAUGAGCCGAUGUCGGAUUAGCUAGUUGGCGGGGUAAAGGCCCACCAAGGCGACGAUCCGUAGCUGGUCUGAGAGGAUGAUCAGCCACACUGGAACUGAGACACGGUCCAGACUCCUACGGGAGGCAGCAGUGGGGAAUAUUGGACAAUGGGCGCAAGCCUGAUCCAGCCAUACCGCGUGGGUGAAGAAGGCCUUCGGGUUGUAAAGCCCUUUUGUUGGGAAAGAAAAGCAGCAGGUUAAUACCCCGCUGUUCUGACGGUACCCAAAGAAUAAGCACCGGCUAACUUCGUG